Molecule: long non-coding RNA, 2504 nt
Organism: Clupea harengus (Atlantic herring)
Lineage: Eukaryota; Metazoa; Chordata; Actinopteri; Clupeiformes; Clupeidae
Source: Ensembl
GAAAAUGCAUGAAUAGAGAGGUUUUUUUACUUAGAACUUCAGAAGCACUCUGCAACAUCACACAGGGGAAGAACCACAGACCUGCGUUUUCGUACAUUAUAUUUGUGUAUUAUACGUUUAUUCACAUCUUUGUCUUUCAUCCACCAUCAUAACCAGCCAUGAGGGCAUCGUUGAUAUUUCUAUUUGUGAUACUGAUGGGUGACCAAAGUCAAUGCCAAAGUGGGGAUUAUGAAAUUGAAUACGAACAUGAACCGGGUCCAGACAUCCUGGGACUGAUCAAACAGACUGCACUGGGCAAGGAAAUCAGUGACAAGAUCUCAGAGAGUGUGGAUGCAAUCAAUCAAUAUGCCCAAGCCGUGGGAAGCAAGGCCCAGUCUAUGUUUGAUAACCUGGGUCGUCAAGCUGAACGUGAAGCCAUGUUUGCCAAACAAGAUAUCCAGAACAACGCCAUUGCUGCUGUCCAGAACGUCCACGGCCGGCUAACGCAGAGUGCUGGGGACAUGCGGCUGAAGACUGAGUCACUCAUCGAGGCGGUUGCACACUCCCUGCAGAUUCAUCUUCACGUGUUUUGGGAGUCACUGACAAAAGGAAAUGAAACACACCCUCUGUUCCAGUGAGAUGCCCAAUGCCAGUGUGAUGGAGGCCCAUGAGUGUGCAUGUCAAUCUUACCUAGAUUAGGUGGGCCAUACCCGCUUAAUACUAUUUAUGAUGUGAAUGAUAAUCUUGCUCUCUCAUUUUUAUCACAACAAAUUCAUCUAGCAGCAGUUUUUCAUUGCUGUUUGUAUUCCUCAAUAACUGAAUGGAGUGUUAAGAGUUGAAUGCUAAGUACACAGAGUGCAAUAAACUCUACUCUCAAACUGUACUCUCAUACUGUUCAUUUAUUAUCUGUUCAUUUAGGCUUCCGCUGAACUACAGAGGCAAAAACAGUAGGCCAGUAUUACUGGGAGUGGACUUUCUUCGGUGCACUAUGGAGCUUCAUGGCUAAAGAUAUGUUACACAACGCUUCAAGAAAUCAUGCAGUUGCAACUACGACUCCGCUCACACAGGAUUGAAGAGUUGCGAUGAAGGUGUCGGCAGCAGUCGUGCUGGUUUUGAUCAGUGCGGCUUGCCAUGGCUAUGAGGAGCAUGUGGCCCUGGAGAACAGCCUAUUAGAAGCCUGGGGACUGGACGAGACUGACCCUUGGGAUUCCCUGAGGGGGUUAGGGGCUGAGGUGCACCGAGCAUUUACACACGCAAUGGGCGGUGAGGUCAGGAACGAGAUCUCUGGGGGCGUUGACACGGCCGUCCGCUUUGGGAUGUCCAUGUUGAACGACGCAAGAGAUACGGGGGAGAGCGUGUGGGAGCAGAUCUCGGAGGAGGCAGAAAAGCUGGACAGUCAGCUGGAGGAGGACAUGAGCCGCCGGUUGGAGGCCAUCGAGAGUCACGCCGAGGCCUACACUCAGGAGGCGCGCAGGAAGAUCGACCAGAAUCUACUGGAGAUCCAGAAGAACCCCAUCCCUGUGGUCCAGACCUUCCAGGGCCAGCUGGCCCAGACGGCGCUGAAUAUCCGCACGAGCGCUGAGUUCUUUAUCGGAGAGUUUGCGUCACUCUGGGAACCUGCUCUACAGCAAGAUUAAGCUCGCUGCUUAGAUUUUUUCCUUACUUUAGAAGCUCAGCCAUACUGUAUUUUUAUGGAGAUCAUGCUAUGGCUUGAUGUCACCUUGUUUGAAUUCCAGACACUUUACUGUUACAAGAGAUUUCCUUUGCGGUAUUCAGAGUCAAGGGCUUCAGCAAGAGUUGUGUGUGAGAAAUGCAAUUGCAGCUGGCUCAGAAGAGCAGCAGAAUCUGGCUCCCUACGCAGAGGAGCUGAAGGGAAAACUGGAUCCCUUAGCUCAGGACCUGAAGACCCAGCUCACCACAUUGUGGGAUUCCUUCACCAAGAACAGCCAGUAAGAACAGUGUCCCAGAUCUGGCCCUUGCCAGCGGAUGUUUAAUUUAUGCUAACCUAAGAGACUCACUGGCUCAAGACGAUCCCUAUCAGACCUCUGCCAACCAGAUGUUACUCUUGAUGAUCACUUCUUUGAGAUUGUUAUACUAGAGAUGACAGUGACAGAGAAGAGGAUGGUAAUAGUUUCAAAAUAUAUUUAAACAAUAUGUGUGCCACAAGAAUUGUCACAGUUUAAGUCAGACAGUUAAGAAUGUACACCUUGGUCGACACUCCUCUACCACGCCCAAUCGCUAUGACGUCUUCAUUUGAAACUAGAAUUUUAGUUGACAUGGAUUCACUGUGACCUUCCCUCAACAUCAGCAUAAAAUUAGGUCCCAUUUAAAAUAUGGAUGUGAAUAUUCUGUAUUUGAUGUCGAAAUGUCGCAUAAUGGCUCCACUCUACUUGUGUUAGCUUCAGGCACUGAAAAUAUUAAGCCUUCCCGGUUGAAUCUUUUUGUUGGAUUUUUUUUUAUUUUUUUUUAUUGUCACAUGGGCUUCAAAUGUUUCAUUUUAAAAGAAUGACAAAAUAAAUGAUUGC